CGAGGUGCGGGUGCUGCCAUCUUCCCCAGACGCCGCCGCUACCGCGCGCCGCGGGGCCCGCCGAAUGCCCCGGGACGGGCGCUCCCGGAAGGCGCCUCCGCAGCGGCCGUUGGGGCUGCGCGUGCGGCCACGGGCGCGCGCGCGGCAGGUGCGCUCGUGCCGCAGCCGUUAGCGGGGCUGUUAGAGGCCGGGCUCGGCACGGCGGCAGUGCUGUCCUCGCUCCCCGGCCGGCCCGUUUCCGCGCUGCCUUCCUGUGAGAGCGGCGGCUUCUCCCCGCUGGGCGCCGGCCGCCUCGGCUGCGGGCGCCGCCGGUGCCUGGCUGCGCGACGGGCCUGAGGCGGCUGCCCUCCCUUGCAAAAGCCUCGCGGGUUUAGUGCCUUUUGCAAGUGAUGUGAGAAGAUACCGGGACUGUUAAUUGCAGGAUGUUUCCCUCAGUUGCUGGCAGCUGGAGCAGUACAGAGCGGUCCUGGCCAAAGUGAACAUCGCGGGAGUCAGUGCAGAACAAGAACAGCAUCAAGUUGUUCCCUACAAAGGGCUAAAUCUGUGCCGCUUGAAUGAGGCAAAAAACUACUGUAUGUUGGAACCGUGCACAACAGCUAUACCAGGGAUUACUCAUUUGACUAGCAUGUUCCAAAUACUAGCAGAUACAAAGCAUGGAGAGCCUUGCUGAAUAUGGUCUGCAGCUGGAGGAUGAGAUUUUGAGGCCUAUAUGAUUUGCAUGCAAGCUGAAGACUUUGGAGCUGUUUUAAUACAGAGCAGAGAAUCUUCUCCAGAGCAACAUCUAUACAAAAGGUAAGAAUUAAUAAUGGUGUGAAGUAGCAUUAAUAGUCGUGUGAAGUAGACUGCUUAAUCUAUAUUACAGCCUUAUGUCAAUACUCUUAUGUGUAAUUGAAGUACUUUGUUUUAUAUCAUUUUACUUAAAGAAAUAAGCAAAGUAAGUUUUAAUGCACAUUAUAAUUUCAUGUACAUUGUGAUAGGAAUUACCUGAAUGUAAAGUAUCUUGGUUUACCUGCAAGUAGGCCUUUACUGAAUAGUCCGUUAUUCAUUCUUGAGCACAAGUAACCCUGUACUGCGUGGGAAAGCAGGAGUGUAUCUGCAUGCUCAGUGGCUCACUUUGUAAACACAGUCCUUAUGUGAUAAUGUAAAAUUGUUCAUUUUUAUCUCUUACUUUGAGACAACUGUAAUUAUUUUCUUAGAAGUCUUACCCAGGUAGUCAUCCAAGGAGAAUUUGUCAUUAUCCCAUAUUUGGAUGAUAAGUUUGGGUGGGAUUCUGAAUUCUGUUUUGUCAAGACUCCAAAAAUGUUCCUAAAAUGUUAAAAAAAAUAAUAAUCCAAGCAUCUUUUAAAAAUUACUUAUGAGAAUUCAGUGCUGUGGCCUGUUAGUACUUGUGAAUUCAGGGGCUGGUGGAAGUAUGAAGGACCUUGCUAAGAGGAGAGUGCUGCUGCUGACAGUGUGGUGUUCCCGGCUUGAAGGCAAAAUUGAAUCCGUUCGCAAUAGCAGUUCAAGGAAAGUGCAGAACUGAACCAAACCGUCUCUUUCAUUAUGUAGGUACAAAAUUAUGAGACUAAUUACAAUCCAUAUUAUAAGUAUUGAAAUUUUUAGAAAAACUUACCUUUUUGGAAACGACACAGAGUUGCUCUGCUGGGAGAUAGUCAAAAGGAAAAACAAAUCUCCAGUUAAAGUUCCCUUCACCAUCCAAUGAUCGAUAGUGAACAUCCGUUUUCUGCUUAUUUUCUUCAUUACCAGGCAUCCAUCUGAAAAUACAGAGGGAUGUGUCUGGUGCUUGUUUGCACUGUAACCACAUCACUAGGUGGUUGCAAACAAGCCACAAGAGUUGCUCACAGAAGGCUGGAGGGUCUUUCACACCCUUUCUCAGUUUGGUUCCCAUUUGGCACUGUAAAUAGGAACAUCUGAACUGAAUUUCUGGUCUGCUAAGACCAGUACUGUAUCAGUGGUGGGAUGUUGGUGGUGUUUUUUUUUCUUUCUUUUUUAGGAUAAAUUAAACUAAUAGCCUAGUAGUAUGUUUCUCUGAUUUCUCUUGUGGUUUGGGUGAGUGUUUUGUUUGUUUGUUUUGUUUGGUUGGUUGGUUUUUGUUUUGUUUUUUUUGUGUGUGUUUUGGUUUGGUUUGUUUUUUCUUUUUUUUUUUCUGGACUAGGAAAUGUAAAAAUUACGAAUCCAGGCUGUGCAGCACCAAAGUUAACUCACUAUCUUUUCAAUUGUUUCCCACCUCAAGAGAUGAACUUCUGGGAUCUUUCACUGCACAUUAACUGGUCAUACUUUAUCUCCUAAUACUUCUGUACUUCUCGGAGGUUAGCACUAUUUCAGAGGCCGUAGUGUGCACUGACUUGGCUGAACCAAAUAAUCUUUGGAACCUGUGGUCUAGGCAUUCCCAGGACACUCUGACAGUUAUUAAUUUGUAAGUGUUACAUGAUAGGGUGCUCAUACCCCUUAACGUAAAUGUCACUCAUUUCUUCCCCUGUGAUGCUCUUUUCAUCCAAAAGGACGUCUUUGGUGUUCCAGACAAUCACCCGCAAGACAUACCUAAGAGAGAUGUUUGGGGAAAGAGAAUUGAAUUUGCUUGUGUCAGGGCUGCCAGCUGGUGUGCAGUAUAUAUGGAUACUCACUUCUUGGCUUUUCGGGGAGUGAUGUUGAAGGGAGGGCCUGGAGGUCCUAAGCUUUUGGGGAAAACAUCAACCCACAUCUGGAGCUUUCCCUGUGGCAGUGGAGAAGAUGGAUGAGGGAUUGUUUGUUGUAUACGGUUUUGUCACGGUAAUCCCAUGGAACUGCUUAUUGACAUGCUUAAGUACUAAUUUUUGCCACAGAGCAGAGCUCACCCAUGUUACCAAUGUCGGAGCUUCUCUAGACUUCAGAUAGGAGCAAGCCCAAUCCUUCAUGCGAUACAAGCUUCUACAAAUGAACAAUGCCAAGAAUUCACAUGAUAGGGAUGUUAAUUCCUAGUGAAUUCAGUGCAAGUUAGAGGCCUAAAUAGUUCUCAUUCUGGAGGUCCAACUUCCUGUUCUCUCAGAGGUGCUAUUAAGUACAGUGUCAUUUGUGUGGCUGAUAGUUUGCAGCUGGUGGCCUAUGCAGUGUAGAUGAUCCGUCCCCUUACCUAGACUCUGAAGUAAGGCAACCACUGAAGAUUAUAUACUCUAUUUCAAAUGCAGGCACCUUUAUUUUUGCAGUUAAGUUCUCUGGUUGCUGCAGAAACUUUCUUAAAAAUACAACCACUGGCGAGUUAGUAAAUGCUAGAAAACAAAUGUUAGCCUUUGUUCCUCUCUAACAGAGAGGUCCAGUGUAAGACUUUGUGCUUAAACUAGCACCUUUGGACCUUGUAGAGAAAUUACAAGAUUGGUCUCAUUUGUUGACUGUAACUUGGAAGCUCUCAAGCCAGGCUGUCUCCAUUAUUUUUGGUGAGGUAUUAAAUACAUAUUUCAAUUUAUUUCAGUACUGAAGUAAUAAAUCUUUCCCAAUUUCCAUUCUGUCAGUGUUUAAGGUGUCACUUGGGGGUCUUAGUGGCAAAACUUAACUGCAUUUUUUUUACAUUUCUAGACUAACUUGCCUUAGUUUCUCAGUCAAAUAAUGUUUUAUAGCCCUCUUCCCCCUGAGUGAUACCACACCACUGACAACAUGACAUAAAUGCAGGAAUGCUCUAUUUCUGUAUUGAAGAAACAAGAAGUAAACUGGCUCAUAGUACCUGGGAGAUGUUGGGCUGGAAGGUGCUAUAUAAGGUCCUUGUCUCCACAUGUUCAGGUACUAAACCCUGGGUUCUCAGGAUAUGAAGGGCCAGCCGCUCUUCACCUGGACCAAGAUGCUGAUGCAAAAUUUUGUUAGCUUCUGAAAUAAAAGAAAUGGACAAAGAACAUGAGUUAAUGAACCAGAAUUUGGAUUUGAACUUUAAAAAAAUGUAAACCAGAUAUUUAAAAUUGAGUGGAAAACUCUGCUCAACAUUAAAAAAAUCAAAUUUUUUCUAAUUUUCUGUAAAAAACUAAAAAAAUUUAUAUAUGUAUCAAUGUGUAUUUAAGACAGAAAUACAGAAUAAGUGAACGAGCUCACCAGCUUCCUCCAAAGUAUAAUCUCGUCCCCCGUAGUUAAUCUUUCUACCAUUCUCAGAGAGGACAGGAGGAGCAUAGCCUUUAAACCUGGCUACAUUUUGCAGUAACUGGGUUGGUUUUAGUUGAUCACGCCAGGUAUUCACACCUGAACUUUUGGGAAGGAAAAGAAAUACAUCAUAAAAUUAUUCAGCAGUCAGGGCAUUUACAUGUCAUGUAAAAUGUAUUUAUUAAACUCAUUCAUAAGGGGCAGCACUGUAACUGCCUAGAUUGAGGCCACUUGAGUUUGAGACAGUGACAUAAUUUUGUACCAGCUCUAUUACUUUCCAAGGCAGAAUGCUUUUUUCUUUACAUAUCAAAGUAAUUUACACUAAAAGAUGCCUUCAUGUUUAUUUCCAUGAGUAGGUCAUAAAAUUCUGUUAGGUGUAUGUUCUCUGGACAGAAAUAACACGCAUUACCAUAUAAAGAGAAUAUUAAAAUGUUUGGUAUCAUGGUUUUAAGUCAAGGUUCUUCUGAACACUUUGCAGCUUACCUUGGAAUUCAGAUGCUAGAGUGAGCACAACAAACACCCAUGAGAAGCCAUAGCAUUGGUUAUUAACCAUAUAAUUCUUAAAAUGAAGGAAGCACAGGUUUUUGGUAAUAAUUUUUUGUUUGUUGUUUUUUUGUUUUUGUUUUUUACAGAGACUGGUUACUAUAUCUUACAGAUAAGAAAUUUUCAAUAGACAGAGUGACUUACAUGCAAUACUGCUGUGGGAUGCCACAGUGAGAUCCAUAACGAGAAAGGAAUCUGUUCUCAAGAUCAAUUAUGGUUUCACCCACUUUUUCAUCCUGCGUCAAUGUGUCAUAGUCAUAGACUGAAAUUUUCAGAUCCUUUUCUUGAGGCAAGAAGCAGCUGAGUUCAUACAUUCUAAACAUAAAAAUGUCCAGUUAAUGCUAUCGCUCUUUCGAGCACUACUUUUUAAGCUUCAAACCAAACCAAAACAACGCCAAACUAAAACAAAACCCAACUUAAGCACGUUUAAGUUUAUUUUUGAGCAAUACCCUUUACAAGAUAUUAAAGAGAUGCCAGAGGGGUGGUAGAUGCCUCAUCCAUGGAUGAGGCCAGGCUGGCCAGGGCUCUGAGCAACUUGAUCUAGCUGAAGAUGUUCCUGCUCAUUGCAGGGGGGUUGGACUGGAUGAGCUCUGAAGGUCCCUCUCAACCCAAACCAUUCUAUGAUUCCAGUGCUGAUAAAUCUAGCAGUAGUUACUGCUCAUACCACAAUUUCUGUUUUCACUUAUUAAUAAUUCCAUUAGCACUCCUAUGGAUAUUACAUCCUUCCUUUCUGCCCAGUGUAUUCCUUAGAUGUUUUCUGUGCAGCACCUUGUAUUGGGACUGAGAAAAAAACUAGUGUGGGUCUGCCAGCCACUUUAGAAAAAGGAUGGUUGGUCAGUCCAUAGUAUGUGUGUGAUUAGAAACUUUACAUUUUUUUUUACCACAAUAAAACCAUAGCUGGAGCCUUAAAAACUAUGGUCCAAAUGUAUGCUUGUAUGACUAGAAGGGAUUAUUCUGUCAUCUAGCUGUCCUACACCAAACAGACUGUAUAAUUUUCUCAAAUUAAUUAUUGGAAUUUACUUCCAAGAUAUGCAGCCUCAGGGUUUGUACUGCUGCUGAAUCUGUUGCCUUUGAGGUAAAGUAUUCCAUGGUUCAUUAUUCUCUGCAUCUUUUUUUGUUUUGCUUUAUUUCUAGUGUAACUUUUAAACUGUGGCUUCCAGAGUAAUUCUGGAAAAACUUGGAAUCUUGAAGGUACUUUAUACCCAUAAUCAAGUCUCUUUGCUGUCUAUGUCUUUGCAUGAUCCGAACAAUUGGAAUCCUGCAGCACAUCAUUACAAAGUAGGCCUUCCCAGCUCUUUAUAAUGCUUCUAGUCCUCCCCUCCUGACUUUUAAAAUCCUCCCCUAACUCUGGAAACCAAGCCAGACCCAGAAUUUUAUUAGUAAUUAUAAAGAUGCUGUAACCUCUCCAUUCCUAAUUAGUAUUUUUUCUAUUGAUAUAUUUCAAAUAUAUUGUUAGUCUUUGAAGGAAAGACCAGUGUACGGGUAAUGUAUGUUAAGCUGAUUACUCAUUGUGACAUCCAGUUAGUUUUCAGAGUUAAAACUUUUUCCAUAUUCUAUAAGCUUAUUUUAUUCUUCUUGUAUGCAUAACAAAGGGCAGUUUUAAUACAUAUACAUUAUUUGACUUUGUGCAAUUUACCCAUGUGAUACAGAAAAUCUGUAGAGUAGCCAAACACCCAUGUUGUCCAGUGAUUUCAAAGGGAAAUGCCUUAUGCAACUUUACACACAGUUAAUUGUCAGUAUGUAACUAUGACUACAGCAUUGGAUAUUUCAAAUAAUUGUUUAUCUUAAAAAAUAGGAAAACAUUCUAAAAUACAAUAAAUUGAAAAUACAAAAAAAUUUGUUACCUGCCAAAAAUUGGGUUGAGAGUAUUAGGCACAUAAUUAUCUCUGUCUUCAAUUACUUUUUUACUCAGGGAUAUUUUUAUAUAAGGAUCGCACUAUUUAAAAUAAAAAAAAAUAUUGUUAAGAAAUAGUUAUCAAGACUAACUUUAUUUGAAAUACACUACAGCAGAGUUAGCUCACAGACAUCCCAAAAGUAAAAAGUCUCACCAGCCCAUUAUUAUCCUGGGGUUGAAGCUGCAAAGCUCGAACAAUAUAAAUUCGCACGAUGCACUCCUGAGGCCCACUGUCCGGGAGCUCACGGAACUGGCGAGGGGGAGCUGGAACAGUGGGAUCAUCAGGCAAUGCAUAGAUUUUAAAGGAUCCCUAAAAAAUAAUGUAAAGACUGAGUCAAGAGAAAUGUAGCAAAGUUACUGUUAGGUUUGUUUUUUCUUAUUUGUCCUCCACAUUCACACUCUGUUUUAUAUAGAAUAGCAAAAUUACAGCCUGAUCCAUAGUCACUUAGAAGUCUUUUGGUUUGCUUUAGUGGAGUUUGGAUAAGACUUACUACAAAGGCAAGGUUAUAUCCUUAGCUGAUUUAAAUCAAUACAGCUCUUUUGAUUUCAACAGUUACUUGGUUUUCUGCAACUGAGAAUAUGUAAUAUAUAUUCCAUAAGCAUCAUUUAAUGUACUGUUUUUAUUUUUUUCUUUUGUUUGACCAUUGUUUUUUUUUUUUUGUACAUACCAUGUUAACAUUAUUUUAAUCUUUAAAAAUCACAGAGAGAGUCACAGAAAUAGUACCAAAUACCUUUUCCAAAUUUAUUCUAAAAAUGUACUUUGCUCAGAACACCUGCAGGUGAAGCUUUAGGCCUGUUCACGAGGUUGUCUGGUAAAGUUCUGUACCACAGGUACCAGGGAAGGUCACAGCAGCAGGAACAGAAUUUCUUUUAAAUUAGCAUGUAUCACGUUUAGCGUGAGAAACAUGUAGCUAUACAUUCCUUGAAAAAGAAGGGCCUGUACCUAAGCAGUUAUGAGCAUCUGUUGCUUCUGUUAGCGUGUCCAUGCUUAAGCUGAAAUGCUUGCAUGUCGACUUACUUAAUAAACCACUUACAUACAAAGCACUGUAUGUAGCAUUUGCUUGUUGCCCAUUAUUUGACAUUUACCUUGAAUUCCCCAACCACUGAUGGAUCAUCACUGUCCUCAGAUUUGCCUCUGUAUAGCUUAAAUGUGUCACAGAAGUCUGUUAAGCUAUUAAAUUCAGGUACCUUUUCCAAUUCACAGUCGUACACCUUAAAAAAAGAAAAAGGAAAAUGAAAAAAAUGCAGUUUAGAAAUUACCGCACAGAUGAGCUCCACCAUUGUGGCACUGCAAAGUGUAUUGUAUGUUUGAUAGAAUAUCUUAAGGAACCAAAGCAUUUGGAACAUUUUUAUUUUCACAUCUAAGUGGAAGCAAAUGCGAUGCUUGGAGAACAUGCUAUCAAACUUCAUUUAGGCCAUGUUAAAAACAGAAUAAAUAGCAUUUCACAAACUUAUCUUUCUUCAUGAGGUGUAUUAGAUGAGAAAUGAAAGUGGUCUGGCUUCACCUUCUAACCAGACAGUAAAAGUACUGAUCUUCUCUUUUCAUACUUUCUGAAUGUGUCUGUUUAUUUAGGAUCUGCCUGGCACCAAAAGAAGUCAGGAAUAAAAUUCCAUUUGACUGAAGUUUAGAUUAAACUCUUAAUACAUCUCUUAGUAAAUGUUGUUAAGUAGAAAAGAAGCAAACGUAUCUUCUCAAAACCUUCACUUCACCACAUGAAUUAGUAGUGGAUAUUUACAGGAAAUCAUGUACAGUUAAACUCUGAAGAGCAUUUAAAAACAAAGGGCACAGCUCUGACCAGCCUUUGGGCCUAUAAACACUGAGAUAAUUUAUUUUAUCCUGAGCAAUACCUUUAAAGUGUCAUAUCCUUUUUUAAUAUACUGUCCACAUUUUUCAUGGUCUCCUAUUGAAGCAUAAAAUUUGCUCCACCAAUCAACAAUUUCUUCCUCCUUAAAGAAAAGCGAAUAAAAAAGUGUUAUUGAGAUACAAAGCCUUUUUUAUAUCAUGCUGUACAGCAGAAACAAUGAACAACAGAAACUACAAAACAUACUAAAAGACAGUAUACUCUGAAACUUAGUUAAGUAAUAGUAAAGGUGCAUCUGAAAGAAAAUUAGAAUGUGAAUAUUAAGGCUAAAACCACGGAAUUUCUCUUACCCAGGUUUAGGUAUCUAACCUAUAAUCCAGCUGCGUUGACAGUCAACAGCCAGCCAUCUCCAAGCAAGCAAUUAAUUGCUGGUAUCUAGAAACCUGUUGCAAACGACUGACUUCUGGAGGUGAGCGUAUUUCUCUCCUCCAUCUCUGGGCAGGGCGGCACAUCUCUCGCCACCUGCGUUCUGGAGUACUGCAGUCAGGGCAAGGGAAGGGAACGUAUGCUCAGCUGGUGCAGUCUUUGCUUCAGCUGCUACGGAGAAACAUUGUCAUACCUGGUAUUCAUUACAGGAAUUGCGUGACUGUAAAUACUACAGUGAACACGUUGAAAACUUCUGAGGGACAAAUAUGCUAGUUUGCUUUCAGCAUUCCCAUUUAUUUCAAAACUGUUGCCUUGUAGUAACACUGUAACUGCUCUAAUCAUGCACCAUUCCGUUAAAACCAGUGAGGAUUGUCUGUGUUGUGACAGAAUCUGGCGUUUGGAGAUUGACCUUAAUGUUUACCAAAGGCACUUGGAAAAAAGGAGCAGUGAGUUUUGCUGUCUUAGAAAUACUUUAGUGAGCUUCAGGAGACCCUAAAUGUUAGCAAUCUAUACAUUCCACUAAAACAGUUAUUUCUGUGGGGUUUUUUUAUCUUUAUUUAAGUCUGAUAAUCACUUUGUUCAAUAGUGUGAUAUUUUCUGUGCUUAUCCAUAGGGAUUGCAUAAUAUAAUUAUCUGUCCCUGAAAAUAUCCUUCGAUUGGUAAUGAAUAGUAUUCAUUCAUGGUGUAAAUUUGAAAAAGUCUUUAAGAUUGUUUGAAUUUAAGUAGAGUCUUAAAGUACGUGAGCUGUUUUUUAAAAUAUCUAGGGGCUUUUAUUUCAGUCAUGCAUAUUUUUCCUAAAUUUGCCAUUUUACAAGUUCACUGUAGGUUUUAUGUCAAGCAUUUUCAGAGAUUACCGUUCUCAUCCAUGUGCUUCAAAUGCUAAUUUAGGGGCAGUAUUGAUUUAUUGAUUUGCAGUUGGGGAAAACCAACGUGUAGAUUUUAAAAAAAUAACAGACAUUACCUUUUCCGUAAGCUGGUCAUGACGAUCAAUUGGUAAAAAGAGAGCAAAACAAAACCAGUGGUAAGGAUAUGAUUUUUUAAUGACUUUAUGAAUUCUAUACAGUUAAACAGACUUUAAAUGUUUAGGUUUUUUUAUAUCGUAUGUAUGUAAAGUAAGUUACUAACAUCAAUAAUUUAUAUAUACUUUUGAAGAAUACUCAGACAUCAUGUUUAACUUUUUUCCUGCUGUUAUGUCCCAGAUAUUAAACUGGAGCAUAUAUAUAAACAUUUUUAAAAGCAGGUUUUUAGUACUGUAGGAUUUUAUCACCCUGCGCUUUGUUCUUCAUAUAACAAAGCAAAACUGAAACUUGGUUUUCUGUUGUGUCAUUGCAGUGUUCCACUCUGAAUUCUGUUUAUUGAUUUCCAUGAUAGCAUCAUCUGUGCCUUCAUCUGUGGUUGCAUAGAGCACUGGAUCUGAUUUAUCUCAUUUGAAAAAUGUUUCUAGGAGCACUUGCAAAACUGCAUCUAUUCCAGAGAUUGUUUUCCAAACAACUUUCACAUAUAUAAAGUUCAAGUUAUUUUUUUUUCCUUUUUGAAUAUUUAGUUCUUUAUAAAACAAUUUGCUAAUGCUCAACAGCCUUUUCCCUUUUCCUUCUACUAUCAUUUUUCAAUUGGUUACAGGCUGUGGAUUUUCAGGAGUCUGGAAGAAAGUGAAUUAUAAAGUACAGUAUCAACCAGUAUAUAUGUCUAUGGAUUUAUCUGUAUAAGUGUAUUAGCAAUCUACACAAUCCAAAAUGCUUCACCGGUUAAAUCACAGAUACCAUAAUUAUGACCAUAGUCCAUUAAGAGCAAGCACCAUGCAUCCCAUUUGGAAGCCAAGAUUAGCAAGUGUGAUUUUGGAUAGUGUUUAUGCAUCAUACCGUGUGUUUUAAUUUAAAGGCAUAAUCCAUAAAUUUUUGUGCAAAGCAGAAGAAAUAUGCAAAAUGCUUUAUGAAUACGAGCCAAAUGCAUCAAUAGAUCAGGACAUCACACUGGUAUAUCAUGGUCAUUUACUUCGAUUUGCAGUCUCUAAGUAAUUCUCUUGCUGGGAUGUGCAGGUGUACUGUAUUUGCGUAGUCUUGUCUAACUUGAAAUCAGAAAUACAGAUUUUUUUUUUCAGAUUUGCACAGGACUGACAGAGGUUCUUAGGGACAUGGUUUAGUGCUAGAAUUAGGUUAGGUUAUGGUUGGACUUGAUAAUCCUGAGGGUCUCUUCCAACUGUGAAAUGAUUCUAUGAUUUCUUAAAGGUAAUUGGUGUGAUUUCUUCUCAGAAACCACGUCAUGUAGUGAUUUGCAAAACUUACAGGCAGAAUUCAUGAGGUAAUUUUGAAUACUUUGCCAUAUUUAAAUUUGUCUUUGUUUAAACACUGGUUUGUAACAUUGACAAUAUGAAGAGUAGUUUGCAUAGCUAUGCAAUAAUGAUUUAAACUCUCAAUUCAAAGCCUUUUCACAAAAUACAUUGUGUAGAACUCUGAAUCUUUCAUCAAAGCAUAAUGUUGGAAGAGUUUAAAUUAGGGUUUGCGGUUUUGUGGUGUUUGUUUGUUGUUGUGGUGUAGGGAUUUUUGUUUGUUUUUUGUUUUUUCCUUGAUAUACCUUCAUAUGUCUCCUCAGCUAAUGCACUUGGUAGCUUCGGGAAGAAGAGAUUAAUAGAAAAAAUAAUCAAAACCUUAAGACCUUCUUUAAAAAUUCCCAAAGCAAAUAAUGCAUUUUCAAUAUUUUGGUAUUACUGUUACUAAAACUGGUAAGCAGGAUGUUCUCACAGAAUGCCAAAACACAGAAUAAAAUGCCAUAUGAUAAAUCUGAGAUUUUGGAGUGAAAUAUUCACAUGGUAAAGAUCAUGUAAUGGUUACUGUCCUUUUUUUUUAGCAUAUCCAUUAACUUUACUGCGGAUUUUUAUAUUUGAAGUUUCUAAGACACUAACACUGAACUAUUAGCUUUUGGGUCCUCUUGAAAUUAUGGGAAAAAAAAUAAGAGAUACGUGUUUCCCUAGAAAAGCUAGACUUAGAAUUUUAUUUACUGUAGAUUUAUUUUACUCUCCAGAAAGUUCACUUUUAAACAAAGUUUUACUAUUAAUAGUGUAGUUAAAUCCUGUUGAUUUUGUGCUUUUAGUAAAUAGAUUCCAAAUAAGUUGACACACAGAGUUUUUAAUAGUUAAUACAUUUUGUACAAACAUGGUAAGACUUUCGGAAUAAAGAUACCUUAAUAUUUGUGACUAAUUAUACUAGACUUAUGAGCAUCAUCUCCUCCAAAAUCUCUGUAUGAAAUAAUUGUCAAGAGAAGUCCAGCCUUGUGACCACGUCCCAUUAACAUUCUUCCCCCACCCACCCCCGGUCUGGUCAUCUCCAUGCAUUAGCUGGGGACAUACAUACAUACAUACAUGCACUGUUGUUGGAGAAGCCAUUUUGCUGAGUGCUGCUGACAUACUGCUUAAACACUAGAAAUUGGAAUGUAAUUGAUGAAAUUUUGGUAUUUUGUGUCCUCAGGGUGUUCUCUGCAUAUCAUUUACACUUUCCACAGUUGCACUAAUUUCAAUUCGAAUUGUUUUGAAUAUUCUUUUCUCCGUCAGAGAUGCUAUCAUUGUAUCUAAUGUUAUAUUUGGCUUGCGUGAUGUCAAACUCAACAAAACAAAUUGUGUUUCACCUUAUGUAGCAUUUCAGGUUUUCCCUGCUAUAGCUGAAAAUGUGUUUCACCUUAUGUAGCAUUUAAAAUUUUCCCUCUUCUGGUUGAAUUUAACUACACAAAUUCAAUCAAUUUUGCCAGUGAGUUCAAAGUGAUAAGUUUUCUUUGUUGUUUUAAUCUCUUUUCUUAAAAUUUUUAAAGGAAAUGAAAAUUCUCCAUACCAGCUAUCAAACAUUUAUAUUAGAACAGAAGGCUUAAUUCAGAUAAAAGUUAAAAGACUGUUGUAAAACCCAUGACUCUGAUAAAAUGAACAGCCAAAGGUCUGUGUUACCUUGGCUUUGGUUCUGUACCCACCAAAGCAAACACUUUCUCCUAGCUCCUUUGUUUAGAAGCACUCAGUCUGUGCAAGAUCAGGCUGCUGUAACCAUCAGCAGUGGACAACUGGGUGAAGUUCUACCAUAUGCCUCGGUAGCUACUGAACAAAGGAAUUCACUCUUAAGCUACUGGGUGAACUUUACCAUGCAUAAACAGCUAUAGUUUUAUGUUUACUAUAUGAAAACAGACGUUAGAAUGAUUAACGUAUUUCCUUUGCUUUCCUGUCACAAAGUAACUUUUGUUCCCUCUUGCUUUGCAGGCAGAAGGUUGCAUAUGUUUCUGACAAUUUUGCUGUCGAGAUAGUUUCUCAGAAAGCACAGAGCUGAAGAAGAAAGUCAGGCAUCAAAUUUCAAAGCUUACCUGAGCCGCUAGCAGUGGCUGCGUGUCUUCCAUUUCAAUUACUGUAUCCUGGCGAGGUGCAGCAGAAAGGAGACUAACUAUCACGUUAUCUCUCCAGAGGUACACGAGAUGGCUAUUUGUCAGUACCGUAUGCGGAGUAAACACUGAAGACAGGUUAUUCUAGCAUAAGAAAGUAGAAUUUUUCAUUUUCUAGCUGUUUACCUUUCAGUUGUGGUGCGAUGUCUUCUUUAGCAGUGUAGGGGUCACAGCGAAAGCUUUCCAGUAAAUCAAUAGUACACUGUCCCACGAUGGGCUUCCGUCCAAAUGGCCUGUGGUCUAUUACUUUAAUAACAAGAGAUGGACUGUACAGCUCCUCUUUUGGCAAAAGCUAAAAAUGAAAGGUCAGAGUUUUUUUUAUAAUGCCAACAGAAGGAAAAUGAAGACUAAAGAUUGCCUCCCUAAAUUAGAGCUGUUACUUCAUUUAUUUAAUACUGAACUAUGUUCUAUGGCUGUUUGGUGAAUGAAAAUUUCUAACCUUAUAUUAUGAUUUAAUAGAAGUCAGUGGGAAUAAGUUUAAUUGCCUCAAAUCUUGAAUUUUCUUGACUCUUGCACAGAUCCCAUCCUAGCAAUAAGAGAAUAGCCACACAUCUGCAGGUAAAUUGAUGCUUUUUCAUAUAUAUAUAUAUAUUGCACUGAAUUAUGCAUAUAAGAUGGUAUAAUUUAUCAGCGAUUGUACAGACAUGUUUAUAUGAUCUUGAUUAGAAUUUUCAGGCUCAGUAAACUGCUUAAUGUUAAGUCAAAAAAGGAUGUGUAAGUUUUUCUAUUCAUUCUUGCAUAACAAAACCUUGAGCUUUCAAAGUACGGGAUAACUGAUUUUUGCCAUGGAUAGCUGAUACAUAGCUUUUUGCAACGUACAACUUUCAUGAAGAGAACCGAAGAUGGAAAAUUUGGUGUCUUUUUGAGGUUUCUGAUCACCACAGAUUCCACCCUUUCACCCCCACAUUCCACAAUGAGACUCGGAGACAUAACAGGUGCCAGCUGGUAGUUUUUCAUGUUCCGCAAACCCCAAGCCAGGAUCUGUAAAAUAAAAUCUAAUAUAACCAAAGGUAGAAGAGACAUCAAGAUGCUUAAUGUGGUACUCAAAAAAGUAGGAAAGAAGAAAUUAAGUAUUUUCCAUAAUAAAAUGUGACUGGGAAAAUAUUUCAGGGUGGUUCUUCUAGAAACAUUAAUGGAAAAAAUGAAACUCAAAAACACAGAAAAAACCCCCCCCGUAUUUCUCACUAUAUUUUUUUCUUAAGUAAAUGCACAAACUUACUAUCAAGAAGAUGAGAUGACGGUACUUGUACUCAGUUAGUUUAAGAACAACCCAUACCUCAACAGCCGUAAGUUGAACUACUGGUCUGAUUCCCUGAGGUACCAUGUAAAGCUUUGGUGCUCUUUGUGAUGGAAGAAUCGGAAGGUUGGCACCACUCUAUUAAGACACAAACAUGAAUAUUAGUUUCUCUCAUCUUCCUUAAAUAAAAUACCUUGCAAAUACGAAGACAAUUCUUCAACAUUAUGACUUGCAGUGAGAGGAUAUAUAAUAUAUCAUAUUAUACAUACACACACAAUAAUGGUAAGAAAUAUACACCUUGUCCUUCAAAAUAAGUUCUGCAGCAAAAAGAAUGUCUCCACUGGCUUUGCCAUUAUUUAUUACAGGAUACCAGAGCAGUUUUGGUGUGAUGUCCUCUUCUGGUAUUAACUUGACCAUGGGGGAACAAAUACUUCUUCCAAGGAAUUCAUCUUUACCCUGCAACCAAAAAUAGCAAUCUUAGCCAUUAAUGUUAUUCUCAAUUAAUAUAAAUAAAUAAAUAAAUAAAUAACCAAUCAGGGUAAAAAGCAUUCACCUACCACUUGGUCACUGUCGAAAAGUUCAAUGACAACAUUAGGUGGGUUUUGGGCCACUGUCUGUGGGUUCCCAUAGAUCUCAAUUUCAUGAAAUAUGAGAGUUUGGUCCCAUGUAGGAUUUAGAGUUGAAUGAAUGAUCUCGGUUGUUUUGCUUUGAUGGAGGAAAGAAACAUGAGCAUAUGGAUCUGAAAUAUCAUGCAAAGAUUAAAAACACAGAGUUACAAACAAACAAAACCCCAUCAAGCCAUAAGGCAUACAGGCACCAUUUUUUAUCAAAUAUAGUAUAUUAUUUUUCUUUUGUCACUACCAGUUCUAUAAGCCAUUCUAUUUAAAACAAAAGCCCACAUAUACACAUAAUUUACAUUUAAUAGAGCAAAUUCCAUUUCGUUACUAAAUAGCUUCCUUUAUUAAUAGUAUAAAUGAAAAUGAUAAAACAUCUCGCAAAUCAGAAAGAAAAUCUGAAAAAUAAAAUGAAACACUGGCUAUACUAAUCUCCCUUUAGUUAUUGUCCCUAGAAGCUUUUUUUGCUUGUUGUCUCCAUGUAUAUACAGCUGUACAGACUCAUAAAUAAUACAGAGAAAUAAUUCUAGUUCUGACUAGUUGCGAAACAACAUUCUCCCAAGCUGUAUUGCUCAGAUCAAGUUUUGGUUUCAAACAUGCUUAUUUAUAGCAACCUCUUCUUGUAAAACAGCUGAAUGAUUAAAGUGGUCUAGGCCCAGUGGCAGGUCUUUAAAUCAUCAGGCUCUAUAGAAGGUAUCCGACGAUGGUCAUUAACAUUUCCUGUACAAAUUGCAAUUACUAAGGACUGGAGGCUAUUUUAAAGGUUAUCUUUAGAUCAGUUUCAACAGCUUCUGGCUAAGAACCUGAACAGAGUUUUACAAAAUUUGGCUAAAACUUCAAACUAGUUUUAGAGGAAAAUAAAAUUAGAUGUGCUAGUUUAUGUGUGACUGCAUCUCGGGUCCCUAUCUUGAAUUCUACAUAUCCAAAUUAGAGGCAUGUAUUGUUGUUUCUUUGUAUUGUGCUGCAUUUUGAAGUAAGACCAAAUAUACACAGGCGGCUGUAUAAAAGACUCCCCUCAUUUCAGAAAACAGCACUAAAAUAUCUGUAACUCUAUGUCUUUUGUAAUAAAUUAGUAAAUGCAUCACACUUAAUUAUUAAUUAAAACACGGAGAAAAAGAAUGCCAUAAAUGGAGAUUGAUGGGGAAAGAAAAUUCUAGGCUGCUCAUUUCAUCUUUGUCUGGACUUAUUUAAAGGGAAGUGUAAAGGCAUAUUCUUACAGAAUCUAAUUUCAAUUUGCCCUCUGACUACACUGUGAAAUUUUAAUUCUAAUUAGCAAAAAUUAAAUACUUGAUAAUCUGGGUAUUGAAUUAGCCUGACUACAAAGAGGCCAAAUGGAUACAGCACUGUUGGGAUACCUAAGAGCUGAAAAUUGCCAUUACUAUUGAAAAAAGGGCAACAGGUACACUUGUAUGAAAAAACAAAAGCCAUGCUUAUUAGUAAGGGGCAGUGUAGUUUUCCACAGGUUCAUCUCAGUAACGCAUUAAUGUAAAAUACUGAACGCUGAGAGGCAGUUGGUGACGUGACAGCCAUCCAGCUUUCCUCAUCCUUGCUUUUGUGUGAGCUUCCUGCAGGACAGCUUAGGAACCGCAUGUAGGCUUAGAAGGAGAAGCUAAGGAAGGCACAGGGAUCAGUCCUGGGAAAUUCAGACCUUAUCUGAAUUCCCAUUCCCUCGCUGAGAAUUAGUUGGCAGCAGCAGGUGCUGCACAUUCAGAGCACUUAUUUUUGUGCAGCUCCUGGGGCAGUACUAACCAAAUCUGGAUCAUAUGUAAUGAAGCUGAGACUUCAUGGUGCGGUUUCAGUAGCUGGAACCUACCCACAGACCUUAAAGAUUUAAGAUAUUCUGUAGCUAAAUCGAGUUACACAAGUGGGUUUUCUGCCCCAUUAUAAUGAUUUUUCCAUACCUGAAAAGCUGUCUUUGUCUAAAGCCAUGAGAUUUCUUGCUUGGUAGACGUAACAGCGAAGGUGGUAAGUAUAUACUCCUGUAUGAAAUAAAUAAAAGAGUUCAACUGCAUUACGCAGGCUUCUUUUCUGCAAUGAAGAUAUUUUGAGUUUAUAAAAAUGCUUUACACAUUUUAGCUCAAGCACUGCAGCACAUUUCUGCUUUUCUAGGAACAGGUGUACUAAUACCAACAAGCUACGACCUGAAAGCAUUUAUUCCAACACUGUUUAAAGCAGAAAUUAAAAAAUAAACAUAACAAACAGAAAACAAGCAAAACACAAAAAAAACCCCACAAGAUUAAAGCUACUUGGAUGUUUUUCAUCGCAUGAUCAUCUAAAAAUUCUUCUAUUCAAAAAUUCCCCUUUGAAAUGCUGUCAUAAGCCAGUACCUCCAAAGAGAAUCAAGAACUGGGCAUUCCUGGGCUUACUACGGCACUUACAGGGACCUGGGAGUUUCACAUUUUUAGCUGUUAGGUCUAGAAAGUUAAUUCCAAUUGCAACUCUAUCUGUUUAGCUACAAGAUUAAAAAAUAAAAUAAAAUCACUGCAGUUAAGGCGGACUAGCGAAAACGUGAGAGCAGCCCAAGCCCUGGACAGCACAUGGCUAAGUUACUUCAGCUGUUCUUUAAAAGAUGUAAGCUCUAACCCUUUCAAGCCCUUGGAAAAAUCUGAGCCACACACAGCCUCAGUGAGCUGAAACCUCUGAAGUCUGGUAAGAAAAGGUGCCUUUCUGCUCCUAUUGUGGUCAUUAUUUAAAAGAAACCACAAUAAUCUUCCUCAGCUUCUGAAAGACAAGAUUUAACAUUUAGGCUCCCAUUUCUGGGGGGAGAUCAAGUUCUGCAGAGUCCAAAUAAAGACAAGUGUUCCAGUCAGAGAUCCUCAAAAAGGGUUUCGAGUCUUAGGAGUGGAUGCAAUUGGCCUUUUUUCCUGUUAACUGACAGUGGUGGAUCCCACUGCAGUGAUUCCAAGGCAUUGAGAGUCACUCCACAUGGGCAAAGUUAACAUUUUGUUCACUUUGCCAACUCACCUGCAUGGUCUUACUGCUUCCUCUGGGUCAGGCAUUUGUCUGACCCUGCAUUGAGCUGGUUAAGUGAGCUGAAACAGCAAAAAAUUGGUUGUACAUAUACUAUCUCUGCUGGCUUAGCUUCCUGCAUUGUUACGGAAGGACCUUAAGGCUAAAAAAGCAUCAUUUAAAAUAGACUAAAAUUCAGGUGCUGCAAUAGCUUUAAAAUUCCUGUCCUGUACAGGUUUUAAACAUGUCUCCAUGACAGUGGACUGAAAUAUCGAAAUGACUAACUAAUUUUUCUUUUAGUAGCCUAAAUAGAGCCCAAUCAAGGAUCAGAUAGUAACUGUAACAGAAGGUAUGUAAACCUAUAUGUAAACCACAAAGAACUGCAAUUGUGUUUGAGACCAGGGAGAAACAGACGUGAUUUACAAGAAAGGAAUUGUUAAAGAACCUACUGUCAAAGUAGCAGGAAACAAGCGGUGUAUUGGCACCAAACACCUUUGUAGCCGACUCCUUGGUUUUGUCUGGACUCUUCCCAUCUCCAUCAUCAACACUAGUGUCUGCUCCCUGAAGUUAUAUACAGAAAAAACAGUUACUGCAUAUUUACAAACAUAGAAGGAACCUGAUAAAAGUAAACUGUUUGUGGGAAUAUACAGAGUUUCAGUCUCUCCUCCAGGACAAGGUUGAAUUUAGUUUCCUGAGUAAAUGUACUUAAAAAGAUGUUUACUCAUGUCUGAAGGUCAUUUCUUGCUGCCAUUGAAGCUGGGCAGAAGUAAGAUCCAGUCAUUUCAUCUUACUUUCCAGACAUUCUGGAGAUACACCAACUACCUGCCAGCCCUUACUGAAGGAGAGGUGGCAGGUGUUCUGCACUGCGCUGUUGCAGAGAACUGCUCCAAGGCCUUAUCCUAGCAAUGGCCCAGGAAGGAUACUCAGAAGAGAAACUGAAUCGAGAAUUUUUAAACUCUGUGGAGCCACUUAUGUGGAGAAAGAAAAUGCUAUCAUGAAUCAUGGUCGACAUUUGGUGCAAAAAAGAGAAACAAACCAAGAAAAAGCCACAAACAUUUGUUAAUGCUAUACAGUCAGAGUUAGAAUAAUGAGUUUAGACAAACAAGUAGCUCUCUCACAUUAUUUGCUCCAGUUUGUAUUUUGGUAAAUAGAGCUUGUCUAUGAAGCUGUGUUAACCUGAAAACUUGAGUAGUGGUGGUCUGUUUGUGAUUUAUGACAUUCUGGCUUCCCAACACUUUGUUUUCCUUUCUUGUGUUUGUUUAUACAUGCAAAUAUUAAUCACAGCCAGCUGUUUCAAUGCGUGUUGUUUCUAUGCACCUGAAAAGCUUGAGGUAUCUUUUCACUUUACUUAUAGAAGGCUCAUCUAGUAAUAUGGCCUUUUGCUCUAAAUCUCAGAUAAUGUAAUAAUAAAAAUAAUUUGAAAAAUAAACUAAUGAGCAUGUUAUGCAAGAGUCUCUACUCUGACUUUCAUGGUCCCUUUUCAGACUCUAAACAAUUUAAAUGCUAUAAACUCUAUUAGUUCCUCAGUUAUACAUCAAUCUAACAACUCAGGGAUUAAAAUAUCUGAUAUACUAAUUGUUUAUUUAUGGUAGAUUAACAGAUUGGAUUUAUAAAGACUUUUGAUACUCUGUCCUUACCAAAGCACCUUCAAGUUUAAAGAUAGCUGCUGCACCGUGUGUCUCUGAGGGAGCCAUUUUUCGUCUCCAUCGUCUUCGACGGAAAGUAUCAGAACUGCGUUGUUUCCAGUGAAAUUUCCAGCCAAUCAAGGAAGCGUAUUCCCAUCCUUCUUGAUCUUCAUAUGAAGACAUUCCCUGGAAGACAUAAAUCCGUGUAAUCCAGAAUGUUGUAUAAAUGUAAUGAAAAACAUCAGAACUUGCCCUGGCAGGCAUAAUAAUCCCCUCGUAAACCAAAGCUGGAAACAUCAAUUUACAAAAAGACAAAAGGAAUAUAAUGAAAACAUACAAGGUUGUUCUAGAUAUUUUUUGUUUGGUAUUAAAUUAUUUUUUCCGCAAAUGAGUAAUCUCAUGUAGAUUUUUUCUUUUAAAUAAACUCAAACUGUUACAAUGUU
Molecule: long non-coding RNA, 20038 nt
Organism: Columba livia (rock pigeon)
Lineage: Eukaryota; Metazoa; Chordata; Aves; Columbiformes; Columbidae
Exons: 5
Source: RefSeq, a predicted model, not a curated record